Molecule: ribosomal RNA, 460 nt
Filed under: uncultured bacterium
Lineage: Bacteria
Description: partial 16S ribosomal RNA
Rfam family: Bacterial small subunit ribosomal RNA
Source: RNAcentral
CCUACGGGAGGCAGCAGUGAGGAAUAUUGGUCAAUGGGCGAGAGCCUGAACCAGCCAAGUCGCGUGAGGGAAGACGGUCCUAUGGAUUGUAAACCUCUUUUGUCUGGGAGCAAAAAGGCCUCGUGAGGCCACAAGUGAGAGUACCUGAAGAAAAAGCAUCGGCUAACUCCGUGCCAGCAGCCGCGGUAAUACGGAGGUUGCGAGCGUUAUUCGGAUUUAUUGGGUUUAAAGGCGGCGUAGGCGGACUGGAAAGCCAGCGGUAAAAUCGAGAGGCCAAACCUCUUUUCGCCGUUGAAACUGUCAGUCUUGAGUGGGCGAGAAGUAUGCGGAAUGCGUGGUGUAGCGGUGAAAUGCAUAGAUAUCACGAAGAACUCCGAUUGCGAAGGCAGCAUACCGGAGCCCGACUGACGCUGAGGCACGAAAGCGUGGGUAUCGAACAGGAUUAGAUACCCCAGUAGUC